RNAcentral lists this long non-coding RNA (223 nucleotides) under Pelobates cultripes (western spadefoot toad). The record is from RNAcentral. Lineage: Eukaryota; Metazoa; Chordata; Amphibia; Anura; Pelobatidae.
CUGCCGGCUGCCCGCAUGGUGCCAGCGGACAGGGGAGGGAGAUCUCUGAUCUCCCCUCUGGUUCAUGAAGGCACAUUGCAGGGCCGGCGUUUGGACAGUAAUUAAUAUUUUUUUUUGUUCUUUAAUAUUUAUUAAUUUAAUAAACCCCCUAUACAAACACUCCACCCUUAUACACACAUUAUACAGGAAUGAGCAGGUGUGGCCAGGAAGGGGCGCUGUGAAC